Molecule: small nucleolar RNA, 87 nt
Organism: Jaculus jaculus (lesser Egyptian jerboa)
Lineage: Eukaryota; Metazoa; Chordata; Mammalia; Rodentia; Dipodidae
Product: small nucleolar RNA U2-19
Exons: 1
Source: RefSeq, a predicted model, not a curated record
AGUAAAACAAGAAACUUCCAGCCAAAUCUGAGCAUCAGAAAGAAGGCUUGUCAGUCUUCUUGAUGCAUGGUCUCUAUUGUUCUGAGA